GACGAACGCUGGCGGCGUGCUUAACACAUGCAAGUCGGACGGUAAGGCCCUUCGGGGUACACGAGUGGCGAACGGGUGAGUAACACGUGGGUGAUCUGCCCUGCACUUCGGGAUAAGCCUGGGAAACUGGGUCUAAUACCGGAUAGGACCACUGCCUGCAUGGGUGGUGGAGGAAAGCUUUUGCGGUGUGGGAUGGGCCCGCGGCCUAUCAGCUUGUUGGUGGGGUGAUGGCCUACCAAGGCGACGACGGGUAGCCGGCCUGAGAGGGUGACCGGCCACACUGGGACUGAGAUACGGCCCAGACUCCUACGGGAGGCAGCAGUGGGGAAUAUUGCACAAUGGGCGCAAGCCUGAUGCAGCGACGCCGCGUGAGGGAUGACGGCCUUCGGGUUGUAAACCUCUUUCAGCACCGACGAAGCGCAAGUGACGGUAGGUGCAGAAGAAGGACCGGCCAACUACGUGCCAGCCGCCGCGGUAA
RNAcentral lists this ribosomal RNA (478 nucleotides) under uncultured bacterium. Its description in RNAcentral is "partial 16S ribosomal RNA". It matches the Rfam family "Bacterial small subunit ribosomal RNA", at positions 28 to 523 of the family's 1533-position model. The record is from RNAcentral.